Non-coding RNA from Myotis lucifugus (little brown bat), 87 nucleotides. Lineage: Eukaryota; Metazoa; Chordata; Mammalia; Chiroptera; Vespertilionidae. The record is from Rfam.
AGAGGUCCUCCGCGGCCAGGGGGGAACGCUUGCCUCAUCACCAUGGUGAUGAAGCAAGCAUUCUGCCAGGCCGCUCAUGCUGCCUGC